AAGUGAAAUGAUGGCAAUCAUCUUUCGGGACUGAACCUGAAAUGAAGAGAGUACUCAUUGCUGAUCACUU
Molecule: small nucleolar RNA, 70 nt
Organism: Echinops telfairi (small Madagascar hedgehog)
Lineage: Eukaryota; Metazoa; Chordata; Mammalia; Afrosoricida; Tenrecidae
Source: Ensembl